GGCGAGUUACGAUUUGAUGCAAGGUUAAGCAGUAAAUGUGGAGCCGUAGCGAAAGCGAGUCUGAAUAGGGCGUUUAGUAUUUGGUCGUAGACCCGAAACCAGGUGAUCUACCCUUGGUCAGGUUGAAGUUCAGGUAACACUGAAUGGAGGACCGAACCGACUUACGUUGAAAAGUGAGCGGAUGAACUGAGGGUAGCGGAGAAAUUCCAAUCGAACCUGGAGAUAGCUGGUUCUCUCCGAAAUAGCUUUAGGGCUAGCCUCAAGUGAUGAUUAUUGGAGGUAGAGCACUGUUUGGAC
This 297-nucleotide ribosomal RNA is filed under the name Staphylococcus aureus. Its description in RNAcentral is "partial 23S ribosomal RNA". It matches the Rfam family "Bacterial large subunit ribosomal RNA", at positions 622 to 919 of the family's 2925-position model. Lineage: Bacteria; Bacillati; Bacillota; Bacilli; Caryophanales; Staphylococcaceae. The record is from RNAcentral.